UACAUCAGCCCAGGUGACAAGUCCACC
Molecule: non-coding RNA, 27 nt
Filed under: Homo sapiens (human)
Lineage: Eukaryota; Metazoa; Chordata; Mammalia; Primates; Hominidae
Source: RNAcentral